Molecule: ribosomal RNA, 467 nt
Filed under: uncultured bacterium
Lineage: Bacteria
Description: partial 16S ribosomal RNA
Rfam family: Bacterial small subunit ribosomal RNA
Source: RNAcentral
ACGAACGCUGGCGGCGUGCUUAACACAUGCCAGUCGAACGGAAAGGCCCUGCUUUUGUGGGGUGCUCGAGUGGCGAACGGGUGAGUAACACGUGAGUAACCUGCCCUUGACUUUGGGAUAACUUCAGGAAACUGGGGCUAAUACCGGAUAGGAGCUCCUGCUGCAUGGUGGGGGAUGGAAAGUUUCGGCGGUUGGGGAUGGACUCGCGGCUUAUCAGCUUGUUGGUGGGGUAGUGGCUUACCAAGGCUUUGACGGGUAGCCGGUCUGAGAGGGUGACCGGCCACAUUGGGACUGAGAUACGGCCCAGACUCCUACGGGAGGCAGCAGUGGGGAAUAUUGCACAAUGGGCGGAAGCCUGAUGCAGCAACGCCGCGUGCGGGAUGACGGCCUUCGGGUUGUAAACCGCUUUCGCCUGUGACGAAGCGUGAGUGACGGUAAUGGGUAAAGAAGCACCGGCUAACUACGUG